UCAAGUUUUCGGUUAAAUCUAUGCGCUCAACGUAUAGGCCGCCGAAAAUACUGGGCAGCUAGGGAGUGGGAGAGGUACACGGUACUCAAUAGGAAGGGGUAAAAUCCUUUGAUCUAUUGAUGACCACCUGUGGCGAAGGCGGUGUACCAGAACACGUUCGACGGUGAGGGAUGAAAGCUGGGGGAGCAAACCGGAUUAGAUACCCGGGUAGUCCCAGCUGUAAACGAUGCAGACUCGGUGAUGCAUUGGCUUGUGGCCAAUGCAGUGCCGCAGGGAAGCCGUUAAGUCUGCCGCCUGGGAAGUACGUACGCAAGUAUGAAACUUAAAGGAAUUGGCGGGGGAGCACCACAAGGGGUGAAGCCUGCGGUUCAAUUGGAGUCAACGCCAGAAAUCUUACCUGGGGCGACAGCAGAAUGAAGGUCAAGCUGAAGACUUUACCAGACAAGCUGAGAGGUGGUGCAUGGCCGUCGCCAGCUCGUGCCGUGAGAUGUCCUGUUAAGUCAGGUAACGAGCGAGACCCCUGCGUCUAGUUGCUACCAUUACUCUCUGGAGUAGUGGAGCGAAUUAGACGGACCGCCACAGUUAAUGUGGAGGAAGGAAGGGGCCACGGCAGGUCAGUAUGCCCCGAAACCCUAGGGCUACACGCGGGCUGCAAUGGUAUUGACAAUGUGUUCCGAAUCCGAAAGGAGGAGGCAAUCAUCAAACGAUACCUCAGUUAUGACUGAGGGCUGUAACUCGCCCUCACGAAUAUGGAAUCCCUAGUAACUGCGCGUCACUACCGCGCGGUGAAUACGUCCCUGCUCCUUGCACACACCGCCCGUCGUUUCAUCGAAGUUGGCCUUUAGUGAGGUAGUGUCUUGUUGGCAUUAUCGAGCUUGAGGUCAGUGACGAGGGAAAAGUCGUAACAAGGUA
Molecule: ribosomal RNA, 912 nt
Filed under: uncultured archaeon
Lineage: Archaea
Description: bacterial SSU rRNA
Rfam family: Archaeal small subunit ribosomal RNA
Source: RNAcentral